UACGUAGGGUGCGAGCGUUGUCCGGAAUUAUUGGGCGUAAAGAGCUCGUAGGCGGCUUGUCGCGUCGGAUGUGAAAGCCCGGGGCUUAACUCCGGGUCUGCAUUCGAUACGGGCAGGCUAGAGUUCGGUAGGGGAGAUCGGAAUUCCUGGUGUAGCGGUGAAAUGCGCAGAUAUCAGGAGGAACACCGGUGGCGAAGGCGGAUCUCUGGGCCGAUACUGACGCUGAGGAGCGAAAGCGUGGGGAGCGAGCAGG
Molecule: ribosomal RNA, 253 nt
Filed under: uncultured bacterium
Lineage: Bacteria
Description: partial 16S ribosomal RNA
Rfam family: Bacterial small subunit ribosomal RNA
Source: RNAcentral